RNAcentral lists this ribosomal RNA (789 nucleotides) under Pseudomonas sp. RNAcentral describes it as "bacterial SSU rRNA". It matches the Rfam family "Bacterial small subunit ribosomal RNA", at positions 65 to 843 of the family's 1533-position model. Lineage: Bacteria; Pseudomonadati; Pseudomonadota; Gammaproteobacteria; Pseudomonadales; Pseudomonadaceae. The record is from RNAcentral.
AGCGGUAGAGAGGUGCUUGCACCUCCUUGAGAGCGGCGGACGGGUGAGUAAAGCCUAGGAAUCUGCCUGGUAGUGGGGGAUAACGCUCGGAAACGGACGCUAAUACCGCAACGUCCUACGGGAGAAAGCAGGGGACCUUCGGGCCUUGCGCUAUCAGAUGAGCCUAGGUCGGAUUAGCUAGUUGGUGAGGUAAUGGCUCACCAAGGCGACGAUCCGUAACUGGUCUGAGAGGAUGAUCAGUCACACUGGAACUGAGACACGGUCCAGACUCCUACGGGAGGCAGCAGUGGGGAAUAUUGGACAAUGGGCGAAAGCCUGAUCCAGCCAUGCCGCGUGUGUGAAGAAGGUCUUCGGAUUGUAAAGCACUUUAAGUUGGGAGGAAGGGCAUUAACCUAAUACGUUAGUGUUUUGACGUUACCGACAGAAUAAGCACCGGCUAACUCUGUGCCAGCAGCCGCGGUAAUACAGAGGGUGCAAGCGUUAAUCGGAAUUACUGGGCGUAAAGCGCGCGUAGGUGGUUCGUUAAGUUGGAUGUGAAAUCCCCGGGCUCAACCUGGGAACUGCAUUCAAAACUGUCGAGCUAGAGUAUGGUAGAGGGUGGGUGGAAUUUCCUGUGUAGCGGUGAAAUGCGUAGAUAUAGGAAGGAACACCAGUGGCGAAAGGCGACCACCUGGGACUGAUACUGACACUGAUGUGCGAAAGCGUGGGGGAGCAAACAGGGAUGAGAUACCCCUGGUCAGUCCACGGCCUUACACCAAUGUCUACCUAGCCUUUUGGGGAGCCCUUGAG